RNAcentral lists this ribosomal RNA (749 nucleotides) under Oceanobacillus sp. RNAcentral describes it as "bacterial SSU rRNA". It matches the Rfam family "Bacterial small subunit ribosomal RNA", at positions 86 to 821 of the family's 1533-position model. The record is from RNAcentral. Lineage: Bacteria; Bacillati; Bacillota; Bacilli; Caryophanales; Bacillaceae.
AUGGAAUGAGCGGCGGACGGGUGAGUAACACGUAGGCAACCUGCCUGUAAGACUGGGAUAACUCGUGGAAACGCGAGCUAAUACCGGAUAACACUUUUCAUCUCCUGAUGAGAAGUUGAAAGGCGGCUUUUGCUGUCACUUACAGAUGGGCCUGCGGCGCAUUAGCUAGUUGGUAAGGUAACGGCUUACCAAGGCGACGAUGCGUAGCCGACCUGAGAGGGUGAUCGGCCACACUGGGACUGAGACACGGCCCAGACUCCUACGGGAGGCAGCAGUAGGGAAUCUUCCGCAAUGGACGAAAGUCUGACGGAGCAACGCCGCGUGAGUGAUGAAGGUUUUCGGAUCGUAAAACUCUGUUGUUAGGGAAGAACAAGUACUAUAGUAACUGAUAGUACCUUGACGGUACCUAACCAGAAAGCCACGGCUAACUACGUGCCAGCAGCCGCGGUAAUACGUAGGUGGCAAGCGUUGUCCGGAAUUAUUGGGCGUAAAGCGCUCGCAGGCGGUUCUUUAAGUCUGAUGUGAAAUCUUACGGCUCAACCGUAAACGUGCAUUGGAAACUGGGGAACUUGAGUGCAGAAGAGGAGAGUGGAAUUCCACGUGUAGCGGUGAAAUGCGUAGAGAUGUGGAGGAACACCAGUGGCGAAGGCGACUCUCUGGUCUGUAACUGACGCUGAGGAGCGAAAGCGUGGGGAGCGAACAGGAUUAGAUACCCUGGUAGUCCACGCCGUAAACGAUGAGUGCUAGGU